Trachymyrmex septentrionalis is the source of this 1969-nucleotide RNA transcript. RefSeq lists it as uncharacterized. The transcript has 10 exons. Lineage: Eukaryota; Metazoa; Arthropoda; Insecta; Hymenoptera; Formicidae. The record is from RefSeq and is a predicted model, not a curated record.
UGACGAACAUCGCUUCAGAAUGCAUGUGUCACUCAAAUUCUUUCUUCUUUUUCUCUUUUAUCCGGAAUAUCUUGAUUAAUAAUAAAAAUAUAAUAAUGAAAAAUAAUACUUAAGCAAGUGCAUCUAAUCAUCGUUUAUCAUGAAAUUUAUAGUACUCAUCGUCGCGUUUGCUACGCAAUGCGUGUACGCCAAAUCGCGAAAUGGAUAUGGUUAUUUCGACGAGAAAUUCUGCGUGCUUGAGUGGAUCACCUACCUGAAGCGACUCUCGUUAAUCGCGUUAAUGUUGUGUGGCGUCGUUUUGUAUUACAUGCCCAAGUCACGUUCAUAUGCUCGAAGAGCAUGUUGCAUCUUGAUAGAUACUGUUGCAAAUGGAUUAAAGUUUGCCUUAGAUACAGAUGAAGUUAAACAUGAAAAGAUAAAAACGAGAUAUGAAAAUGAAAGUAAAGUACUAAGAAUACAAGAAUUAUACAGAAAAGUAUACGAGGAAGAUACAAGAAAUAGUCAAAAAUACAUUAACAAAACGAACUUGGAUAACAAUAAUCAUAAAUCAAUAAGAAAACACAAAAGUAAGAAAUUUCGCGCAAAGCACACUAUCGGUGGAAAACAUGAACGUCAUCGACAUAAUCGUCAUCAUCAAAAUGCGAUCAAUAAUAUGUUGCCGGAAUCCAAUGCAAUGAUAACCGCGUAUGUAUAUGAAAUAGGAUCAUCAUAUCAACUUACCAACAAGUCACAGCAGAUAACAAUAAUCGAUGAGAAAUGCAAAAAAGACAAUGUAAUAGUCCUACAGGAUACUAUUCUGAAAACAACGUGCACAAUGUCGGCGGAUAAAUUACAAAAUAAUAUUGAUUCGGAGCAAGAAAAUUCUUUAAAUAAGAAGGCAGAUUCCAGCACGAUUUCAGAAAUUAUUGAUAAAAAUGAUACCAAGUAUAAACUGAUGAAAUUCAAAACUUCAUCCCAAAAACAGGAGAACAUAAGCAACAUCGAUACUAACACAAAAAUGCAGACUAAACAAAAUUUUGAUGGUAUGAAGUACGAAGAAGUUACAGUUCUUUCCCGACGUCAGUCAAGUAAAGAUUGCGUGACAAUCAUAAACAAGCAAAUGGAUUCUCGUUAUGGUACAGAAAAACUAUUCACAAAGCGACAUGAUGGACUUGGAAAAAAAACCCAUCGAUUUUCUCAUGAUAUAAAAAGUUUUACUCAUGAUUGUUAUGAAAAUUCAUUGAUUACAAAUAAUCGGGUUAAACCAAUCCUACUGCGAGUUGUAAACUGGUUUUUUGGUGGUUGUCCAGCAUCAAGACAACGUCGAGAACAGAUUGACGAAGUCGGAAAGGAAGAAAUUUUCGAAUCUACCAACACGUGGCUCCUCUAAACGAACAAAGUACCUGCAGCAGUAAAGUGCAAAGCUGUCGAUAAACGCAGAGAUCUAUGUCUUCAUCUUAAUGAAACAUUGGUUACAUCGCGAUUAUCCAUCGCGUCGCGGCGCGUACGUUCAUUCCAAUUAUAUCCCGACGCGAAGACGGCACGUUCGUGAGCUUCGGAGGGACAUCGGCCGUUUCAAAUCUCGACCUUCGUCUGCGCACACAUCUGUACCGGAAGCGGGUACCGCAUGUAUAUGGCUUAAGAGCAAUAAGGGAACCAGCGGGCCUCGCGAGCCGCAAGAAGAGAAUGGGGCGAGACAGUCGCGCUAAGACCAAGAUCCGCGGCGGUUCACAAAGCCGCGAAUUCGAAUGAAACUAUUGCCAUUCACGUGACAGACGCGCAAUCAGCCGAUCUGUCUUCUUCCGUUUUUUUAUCAUUCAAUCGUACCAAUAAGUUUGCUGUGCCUUAUCGCUAGUGUCUCGUGCGUUUGAUCUAUUAAUCUUAGGCUACCAAAUUCAUUGUCAAUAGAUAAUUUCGUGAAACAUUCUGUAUUUCAAGUUAGAACUAUGCAUUCUUAUCAUUAUCCGACAAAGUUUAAUUGCAAUAUGAA